RNAcentral lists this ribosomal RNA (275 nucleotides) under uncultured bacterium. Its description in RNAcentral is "partial 16S ribosomal RNA". It matches the Rfam family "Bacterial small subunit ribosomal RNA", at positions 82 to 354 of the family's 1533-position model. The record is from RNAcentral.
CUUCCGCCGGCGACCGGCGCACGGGUGAGUAACACGUAUGCGACCUGCCCCCGCAGGGGGAUAACCGGGAGAAAUCCCGACUAAUACCGCGUAACGCCGCGGACCUGCAUGGGUCUGCGGCCAAAGGAAGCGAUUCCGGCGGGGGAUGGGCAUGCGGCGCAUUAGCUAGUCGGCGGGGUAACGGCCCACCGAGGCGACGAUGCGUAGGGGUUCUGAGAGGAAGGUCCCCCACACUGGUACUGAGACACGGACCAGACUCCUACGGAAGGCAGCAG